AGCGAACGCUGGCGGCAGGCCUAACACAUGCAAGUCGAACGGAUCCUUCGGGAUUAGUGGCGGACGGGUGAGUAACACGUGGGAACGUGCCCUUUGGUUCGGAACAACUCAGGGAAACUUGAGCUAAUACCGGAUGUGCCCUUCGGGGGAAAGAUUUAUCGCCAUUGGAGCGGCCCGCGUCUGAUUAGCUAGUUGGUGAGGUAAAGCUCACCAAGGCGACGAUCAGUAGCUGGUCUGAGAGGAUGAUCAGCCACAUUGGGACUGAGACACGGCCCAAACUCCUACGGGGAGGCAGCAGUGGGGAAUCUUGCGCAAUGGGCGAAAGCCUGACGCAGCCAUGCCGCGUGAAUGAUGAAGGUCUUAGGAUUGUAAAAUUCUUUCACCGGGGGGACGAUAAUGACGGU
Molecule: ribosomal RNA, 404 nt
Filed under: uncultured Caulobacter sp.
Lineage: Bacteria; Pseudomonadati; Pseudomonadota; Alphaproteobacteria; Caulobacterales; Caulobacteraceae
Description: bacterial SSU rRNA
Rfam family: Bacterial small subunit ribosomal RNA
Source: RNAcentral